CCUACGGGGGGCAGCAGUGAGGAAUAUUGGUCAAUGGUCGGGAGACUGAACCAGCCAAGCCGCGUGAGGGAUGACGGUACAGAGUAUCGUAAACCUCUUUUGUCAGGGAACAAAGGCGGGGACGCGUCCCCGGAUGAGUGUACCUGAAGAACAAGCAUCGGCUAACUCCGUGCCAGCAGCCGCGGUAAUACGGGGGAUGCGAGCGUUAUCCGGCUUUAUUGGGUUUACAGGGUGCGCAGGCGGUCUGUUAAGUCAGCGGUAAAAGCCCGGGGCUCAACCCCGGCCCGCCGUUGAAACUGGCAGUCUCGAGUUGGAGAGAAGUAUGCGGAAUGCGCGGUGUAGCGGUGAAAUGCAUAGAUAUCGCGCAGAACUCCGAUUGCGAAGGCAGCAUGCCGGCUCCACACUGACGCUGAGGCACGAAAGCGUGGGUAUCGAACAGGAUUAGAUACCCCAGUAGUC
Molecule: ribosomal RNA, 459 nt
Filed under: uncultured bacterium
Lineage: Bacteria
Description: partial 16S ribosomal RNA
Rfam family: Bacterial small subunit ribosomal RNA
Source: RNAcentral